This 290-nucleotide long non-coding RNA is filed under the name Salvia miltiorrhiza (redroot sage). Its description in RNAcentral is "long non-coding RNA (SMIL_LNC014304)". Lineage: Eukaryota; Viridiplantae; Streptophyta; Magnoliopsida; Lamiales; Lamiaceae. The record is from RNAcentral.
ACACUUGUAAUUCAAAAAAUAAAUCUUGAGCAUCAAUGUCAAAUUUAUCAUUAUGUUUCAGGGCAUCUUAAAGUUAACACAAUAUUUAUGCAACGUUUCUCAUCCAAUAAAAUUAGUAUCUUAUGAUUAGUAAUAUAAAUUUAUGCAAUAGAGAGUCAUUUUAUGUUCUGUUACCAUUUAAGAUUAGGAAUUUGGAAUAUAAUUUUUUUUUUAUCUUGCUGUUGAUUGCUGACCUAUAGGUAGUGAAAGAUUUUAUUUUUUUUUUAAUUAAAGUAUAACAUUAGUAUUGG